Molecule: long non-coding RNA, 527 nt
Filed under: Phoenix dactylifera (date palm)
Lineage: Eukaryota; Viridiplantae; Streptophyta; Magnoliopsida; Arecales; Arecaceae
Description: long non-coding RNA (PDAC_LNC022487)
Source: RNAcentral
AAGAACAUAAAUGUUUUGUUUGAUGAAUAUUAAUACAGCACCACUAUCAAAUUGGAACUUAUCAGUGAUAUAGCUCCAACAUGUGAGUUCCAUAGAUCACAUAACAACCAUCAAAGUAACAAGCUGUUUUAUAUGAUCGAUCAUACGAAACUGAAAUAACCUCCAAUUUUUUCAUUUUAUAAGAAAUCUUGUAUUAUGUGUUCAGUUUAAGCAGUCAAAUGGCGUAAGCAUUGAUGCUAAAUCAUAACGGGUAUAUUUAACAGAAUAAUCAUUACCAGAUGUUUUGAUACUAUCUGUCUUACAAAAAUGCAUAACCAAUAUGGAAGUAGGCAACCUUUGAGACCUAAAAUGAAACUACAAUUAUUGUUAACAGAUGAUAAUCUUUAAGAAUACAAAUGUUGCACAGAACGAGCAAAAAAGUUUAGUUGCCAUGUAAAACUCCUAUGCCCGCUCUAGAAAUGAAUUUAUCAGCAUAUUAUUUCAUCAAAAUUUUCCCUAUGAAUGGAAUAUACUUCAUAAGGACUAAU